RNAcentral lists this ribosomal RNA (335 nucleotides) under uncultured Helicobacter sp. Its description in RNAcentral is "partial 16S ribosomal RNA". The record is from RNAcentral. Lineage: Bacteria; Pseudomonadati; Campylobacterota; Epsilonproteobacteria; Campylobacterales; Helicobacteraceae.
UAGAAUAACAGUUCAAAUGCAGUCUAUGGUUAAGCCAUAGCAUUUCACAUCUGACUUGCUAUCCCGCCUGCGCACUCUUUACGCCCAGUGAUUCCGAGUAACGCUUGCACCCUCCGUAUUACCGCGCUGCUGGCACGAGUUAGCCGGUGCUUAUUCGUUAGAUACCGUCAUAAUCUUCUCUAACAAAAGGAGUUUACAAUCCUAAAACCUUCAUCCUCCACGCGGUUGCUGCUUCAGGUCUCCCCCAUUGAGCAAUAUUCCCUACUGCUGCUCCCGUAGGAGUCUGACCGUGUCUCAGUUCCAGUGUGCCGUCACCCUCUCAGGCGAUACCCGUC